Molecule: ribosomal RNA, 740 nt
Filed under: uncultured Providencia sp.
Lineage: Bacteria; Pseudomonadati; Pseudomonadota; Gammaproteobacteria; Enterobacterales; Morganellaceae
Description: bacterial SSU rRNA
Rfam family: Bacterial small subunit ribosomal RNA
Source: RNAcentral
CGUGGGGAGCAAACAGGAUUAGAUACCUGGUAGUCACGCUGUAAACGAUGUCGAUUUGGAGGUUGUUCCCUUGAGGAGUGGCUUCCGGAGCUAACGCGUUAAAUCGACCGCUGGGGAGUACGGCCGCAAGGUUAAAACUCAAAUGAAUUGACGGGGGCCCGCACAAGCGGUGGAGCAUGUGGUUUAAUUCGAUGCAACGCGAAGAACCUUACCUACUCUUGACAUCCAGAGAAUUUAGCAGAGAUGCUUUAGUGCCUUCGGGAACUCUGAGACAGGUGCUGCAUGGCUGUCGUCAGCUCGUGUUGUGAAAUGUUGGGUUAAGUCCCGCAACGAGCGCAACCCUUAUCCUUUGUUGCCAGCACAUUAUGGUGGGAACUCAAAGGAGACUGCCGGUGAUAAACCGGAGGAAGGUGGGGAUGACGUCAAGUCAUCAUGGCCCUUACGAGUAGGGCUACACACGUGCUACAAUGGCGUAUACAAAGAGAAGCGACCUCGCGAGAGCAAGCGGAACUCAUAAAGUACGUCGUAGUCCGGAUUGGAGUCUGCAACUCGACUCCAUGAAGUCGGAAUCGCUAGUAAUCGUAGAUCAGAAUGCUACGGUGAAUACGUUCCCGGGCCUUGUACACACCGCCCGUCACACCAUGGGAGUGGGUUGCAAAAGAAGUAGGUAGCUUAACCUUCGGGAGGGCGCUCACCACUUUGUGAUUCAUGACUGGGGUGAAGUCGUAACAAGGUAACCA